This 653-nucleotide ribosomal RNA is filed under the name uncultured Gammaproteobacteria bacterium. RNAcentral describes it as "SSU rRNA". It matches the Rfam family "Bacterial small subunit ribosomal RNA", at positions 245 to 915 of the family's 1533-position model. Lineage: Bacteria; Pseudomonadati; Pseudomonadota; Gammaproteobacteria. The record is from RNAcentral.
CUAGUUGGCGGGGUAACGGCCCACCAAGGCGAAGAUCGGUAUCCGGCCUGAGAGGGCGCACGGACACACUGGAACUGAAACACGGUCCAGACUCCUACGGGAGGCAGCAGUGGGGAAUUUUGCGCAAUGGGGGAAACCCUGACGCAGCAACGCCGCGUGGAGGAUGAAGCCCCUUGGGGCGUAAACUCCUUUCGACCAAGACGAUAAUGACGGUACUGGUGGAAGAAGCACCGGCUAACUCUGUGCCAGCAGCCGCGGUAAUACAGAGGGUGCAAGCGUUAAUCGGAGUUACUGGGCGUAAAGGGCGCGUAGGUGGUUGUAUAAGUGAGAUGUGAAAUCCCUGGGCUUAACCUAGGAACUGCAUCUUAUACUGUAUAGCUAGAGUACUGUAGAGGGUAGUGGAAUUUCCGGUGUAGCGGUGAAAUGCGUAGAGAUCGGAAGGAACACCAGUGGCGAAGGCGGCUACCUGGACAGAUACUGACACUGAGGCGCGAAAGCGUGGGGAGCAAACAGGAUUAGAUACCCUGGUAGUCCACGCUGUAAACGAUGAGAACUAGAUGUUGGUAGGCUUGACCUAUUAGUAUCGAAGCUAACGCGAUAAGUUCUCCGCCUGGGGAGUACGGCCGCAAGGUUAAAACUCAAAGGAAUUGACG